This 499-nucleotide ribosomal RNA is filed under the name uncultured Oscillospiraceae bacterium. RNAcentral describes it as "bacterial SSU rRNA". It matches the Rfam family "Bacterial small subunit ribosomal RNA", at positions 12 to 507 of the family's 1533-position model. Lineage: Bacteria; Bacillati; Bacillota; Clostridia; Eubacteriales; Oscillospiraceae. The record is from RNAcentral.
UUUGAUCCUGGCUCAGGAUGAACGCUGGCGGCGUGCUUAACACAUGCAAGUCGAACGGAGUACCCCUGAAGGAGUUUUCGGACAACUGAUGGGACUACUUAGUGGCGGACGGGUGAGUAACGCGUGAGUAACCUGCCUUGGAGUGGGGAAUAACAGCUGGAAACAGCUGCUAAUACCGCAUAAUAUGUCUGUGUCGCAUGGCACUGGACAUCAAAGAUUUAUCGCUCUGAGAUGGACUCGCGUCUGAUUAGCUAGUUGGCGGGGUAACGGCCCACCAAGGCGACGAUCAGUAGCCGGACUGAGAGGUUGGCCGGCCACAUUGGGACUGAGACACGGCCCAGACUCCUACGGGAGGCAGCAGUGGGGAAUAUUGGGCAAUGGGCGCAAGCCUGACCCAGCAACGCCGCGUGAAGGAAGAAGGCUUUCGGGUUGUAAACUUCUUUUCUCAGGGACGAAGCAAGUGACGGUACCUGAGGAAUAAGCCACGGCUAACUACGUG